CCUACGGGUGGCAGCAGUGGGGAAUAUUGCACAAUGGAGGGAACUCUGACGCAGCGACGCCGCGUGAGUGAAGAAGUACUUCGUUAUGUAAAGCUCUAUCAGCAGGGAAGAAAGUGACGGUACCUGAAAAAUAAGCUCUGGCUAAAUACGUGCCAGCAGCCGCGGUCAUACGCCUGGAGCAAGAGUUAUCCGGAUUGACUGGGUGUAAAGGGAGAGUAGGUGGCAGAGCAAGUCCGAUGUGAAAACCCAAAGCUCAACUGUGGGAAUGCUUUAGAGACUGCGCGGCUAGAGUGCAGGAGAGGCAAGUGGAAUUCGUGGUGUAGCGGUGAAAUGCGUAGAUAUUAGGAGGAACACCAGUGGCGAAGGCGGCUUGCUGGACUGUAACUGACACUGAGGCUCGAAAGCGUGGGGAGCAAACAGGAUUAGAUACCCCGGUAGUC
Molecule: ribosomal RNA, 440 nt
Filed under: uncultured bacterium
Lineage: Bacteria
Description: partial 16S ribosomal RNA
Rfam family: Bacterial small subunit ribosomal RNA
Source: RNAcentral